GGCACACGCCAAUGCCAGGGUUCCGUGCGACGUUGCCAUGGCACUUGAAGAGGAAUAAUAGCGUUACAGAUAGCAUAGUGUCGCUAGAGUACAAAGCCACCUCAUCUGGCCCAGGGCCCUUCCAUACAGCCUUAUAUCUCAGAAUAUCAAGGUACUGUAUAAGUGCUGUUUUGUAAGCCGCCUUGAGUCCCCCUCAGGUUGGGGUAUAAAUAAGGUAAGUAAAUAAUUUGUGUGUGUGUAGUAGUAGUAGUAGUAGUAGUAGUAUUUGAUACUGUUAUAUGUGUGUUUUAACUAUGGCCCCAUCUACACUGCCAUAUAAAAGCCAUAUUAUCUUCUUUGAACUGGAUUAUAUUAGUCUACACUGCCAUAUAACCCAGUUUCAAAGCAGAUAAUUUGGAUUUUAUAUGGCAGUGUAGACCCUUUCAACACAGCUGAAUAAAAUCCCACAUUAUCUACUUUGAACUGUGUUAUAUAGCAGUGUGGAUUCAGAUAACCCAAUUUAAAGCAGAUAUUGUGGGAUUUUCUACCUUGAUAUUCUGGGUUAUAUGGCUGUGUGGAAGGCCCCUUAGGGUCCUUACAACCAGCCCUUUAUUCCAGAAUAUCAACGCAGAAAAUCCCACAAUAUCUGCUUUUACCUGGGUUAUCUGAGGGCCCUUCCACACAGCCCUAUAUCCCAGAAUAUCAAGGCAGGAAAUCCCACAAUAUCUGCUUUGAACUAGGUUAUCUUGAGUCCACACUCAGAUAAUGUAGGAUUUUCUGCCUUGAUAUUCUGGGAUAUAGGGCUGUGUGGAAGGACCCAGAGGCCCCUUCCACACUGCUGUAUAAAAUCCCACAUUAUCCUUUUUGAACUGGGUUAUGUGGCAGUCUGGACUCAGGCAUCCUUCACGCAGCUGAAUAAAAUCACACAUUAUAAAAUCACCCAUUAUAGGGCUGUGUGAAAGGGCCCUUAGUCUCCACUGCCAGAUAAUCUGGGAUAAACAGAUAAUCUGGGAUCGGAUCCAAGGAUAUAAGGGCCUGAAUAGAUCCCACAUUUUCUACUUUUAACUGGAAUAUAUGGCAGUGUGGAUACAGAUAACACAGUUCAAAGCAGAUAUUGUGGGAUUUUCUGCCUUGAUAUUCUGGGAUAUAGGACUGUGUGGAAAGGCCCUAAAUUAUAAGGUAACUCGUCUCAACUCUUUACGAGUGGCAAAGUAAUAAUAAUAUCACAAUAAUAAAGCCUUUUUUUCCCCUGUUGGUGGUACUGAAAUUAAUGAAGGAGUCUUAAAAACAAAUACAGUAAAAAUAGUAACAAUCAUGUGUGUGUUUUAACUAUGGGCCCUUCCACACAGCUAUAUGAUCCAGAAUAGAUAUUUAUUUAUUCACUGUACUUAUACCCCGCCCUUCUCACCCCUGAAGGACUCAGGGUGACUUACAAACUAUGGCAAUAAUUCAAUGCCAGAUUCAAACAAUAACAAUAAGAGUAACACACAAUAUUACAAAACUGUAAAAACAUAUCCAUCCAUAUCUAUAUAUAUAAAAGAGUGAUGGCAUCACGGCGACCCACAAAACAACAAAACUACAGGCCCCCCAACCUCGAAAUUUGACAACACAACCCAUCAUCCACGCCUCUAGGUUGAUACAACAAAAAGAAAAGAAAAAUAAAGUCCUAAUUAGAGGGAGAGGAAUAAUUUCUUUUAUCCAAUUGCUGCCAGUUAGAAGGCUAAGCUCCUCCAACUUGGUCUCCUAGCAACCCAAUAAAAAUAAUAAAAAACACUAAAAAAUAAUUAAAAACACUAAAAGAUUAAUACAAUAAAAUACUAUAAUAACAGAAAAUAACUAAAAAUAAUACAAGAAAAUAAUAAAAUAUAAUAAAUAAAAAAGAUAUCUUACAAUAAAAUUAAUUAAAAAAUACAAAUAAUGUCAAAUAAAAAUUACACAACAAUUUUUAACCAAUACCACCACCACUUUGCCACAGCAACGCAUGGCCGGGCACAGCUAGCCCAUUAUAAAUGAUCUUACAGAUGAUUAAAGCAUAGCAAAGGUCUACCACCAACUCAAUUUUAUAAACAUUAAACCAAUUGCUCUCGCCAUUCUUAUACAGGUUCUAUCAUACUUAUGGGUCAAAUUAAUUUCCAAAGGCUUGCUUAAACAGCCAGGUCUUAAGAGUUUUGCUGAAACUUAAGAGUGAGGGGGCUGUUCUGAUGUCACUGGGAAGGGAAUUCCACAGCUGCAGGGCCACCACCAAGAAGGCCCUGUCUCUAGUUCCCAUCAACUGUGUCUGCGAUGGCGGUGGAACCGGGAGCAGGGCUUCCCCAGAAGAUCUUAACAAUCGUGCUGAUAUUGUGGCUGAUAAUCCACAAUAUCUGCUUUGAACUGGAUUGCCUGAGUCCACACUGCCAGAUAAUCCAGUUCAGUGUGGAUUUUAUACAGCUGUGUGGAAGGGGCCUAUGCUUAUGUUUUAUUAGAUGGUUUUGUAUGUUCUAUGUGAUAUUGAAUGCUCGUCUAAACCGGCCUGGGACCCUUUCGGGAGAUAGAGCGGUAUAUAAAUAAAGUGUCGUUGUUGUUGUUGUAAGGUAAUUGUAGUUUUUGAUUGCUUGAGAGUUAUUAUUAAAAAUAGUUUCAUAAUGCACUUUAACCACAUUGAACUGCAAUAUAUGGCACUGUAGACUCAUAUAAUGCAGUCCUACUAUAUUAUGAGUCUGCAUUAUAUGGCAGUGUAAAUGAGGCCUAAUACUAUAUCCCAUACUAUACCAUACCAUAAACUCUGUAUUGACUUGAUAUUAAUAUUGAAAUGCAGUAAUUGAAACCAAAUUAAGAUAGAUACAGACCAUCCUAAUUUAAUGUUAUUUUACCGUAUUAUAAACACAGAUUUUUUAUUUAAAGUAUUCUUUUUUUCUUUUUUCUUUUUUUGCCAGUUGCUUGAGUUCUGGUUAACUGAGAGUCUAUUAUACUUGGAAUUAAAUUACUUUACUUCCACACAAAUAUGUUUGGAAUUAUAGUUAGGAAUGCACAAAGGACUUAAUCUGUUCUAAAGCUAAUAGAUCUUACACUUGACCAUAAUAACCCUGCCUCUGCUUGAGUCUCCCUAUACUAACUACACAAGUACAGUAUAAGAUACUAACAAAUUAGCAACACGACACUUAUUUUCCUCUAAGGUUCAAGAUGAAAAUAGAUUAAAGUGAUUGCCAGCACCUCAUAAAAUGGGAAUAACAUCCAAGAACUUAAAAGCUUCUGAAACCAUGGAGAGCCUAGUUGGCACACAUGACACAUUGGUGAAUGGAAUAGGGGAAGUUCAGGUUAUUCAUUAAAGCCAGUCAUAAGAAACACUGGGAGUUGGCUAAGGACUACAGUAGGCCUUCCACAUUUGCGGGUUUAACAUUUUCGGAUUUUAAUAUUCAUGUAUUUGGUACAUCCUCUUUAAAAAUCUGUAGGAAUCAACCCAAGUCUUUCUUCAUCACUCUGCACAUCUAUUUAUUUAUAUUUCAUUGAUGUGCAGUCUUUUUUCUUAUUCUUUGAAAUAAGUUUUAUUCAAACAUACAGCAGCAAGAAAUACAGACUUACAAAAAAAGGAAGGACAAAAACAUCAAGAGUGCAAAGAAAAAUGAAGAAAAAAACUACUACCAUAAAAACCAGAAACAGGAACAAUUUUUCAUUAUAGCUAAAACUAAACUAUUUGCAGCCUUUCAGAAGGAGCAGGACCCAAGGUGGCUCACAGAUGGAAUAAAUUAAAACCUGACAAUAGAAAUUUUAAAACAGCAAUUAAAAACAUAAUUUUAAAAUCACAUUAAAGUACGUAGUAUAAAAUUAUUUCAAAGGAAUACUAAAGUUUAAAAAAGAGCACAUGCCCAACAAGGAGCCUCAGUGGGAGCUAUUACCUAUUAAAAGCCUACUUAAACAAAAAUGUCUUUUCCAAAAAGGUGCCAAAAAGGUGAAAGGAGAGCAGGAAGGAGCCAGCCUUCUUCUCCUGCAGAAGGGAAUUCUUGAGGAUAGGACAGCAUCUGAGAAGUCUCUCCCUUCUGUCCAGAGCCUUAUCCAAUGUCCUGAAAUCCUCAGACAACGAAGGAGCUUAUGCUCUGCACACAAGUAAGGGACACUUAGGAGAGAGCAUGCCAUAGAUCAACUAGGACAUAGCUCCAAUAUGGAAAAUCCCCUAGAGCACCCGGAAAUAAUUUUAGGUCCCUUAGUGUUUAUUUCAGAAGAUAACCCAACCCUUUAGUGGUCCCAGCAAAUCUAAACUCUAUGAAAUAAUGAUUUGUUCACAACAUCAGAGUUCUUCUGAAUCCUUAUACCCACAGAUAACCUUUAUCCUGGCCAGCAAAAAUGAGAGGAAAGUGUGAUUGUACAUAUGUAUACCAGAUAUUGGGACAUAUCCAGAGUUGUCAUGGAAGCCAUUUCAUCCUGAGACAUUCUUGAUGAGGGGUGCUCAGCAUGAAUGCUAAAAUUGACCAGUACAAUUAAGUUUGGGAGAGAUUAACACCAUUUCCAAGAUUAUGUCCAUGAGCUUAGCCAGGGAGACAGUUAUUUAGCGAGAUGGGCAGUACACCAACAGAAUCCCAAUCCUAUCCAGCUGCUGAGUAUACAGAUUCAAAUUUUGUAAAUGGUUAGAAUACCUCAAGACAAGAUGGACCUACAAUAAAUUCCAUUUCCCAGUUUCCUGGACCUUGAACUUUCUGCUGUAUCCAGUAAACUAGCAGACACAAUUGUGACAAGCAGACAGCCCUCUUUUAUACAACUUGGGGUGCUUCCAGACAGUACCAAAAGUAGUUUUAUAACUAAGGCAAAAGAUCCUGGGACCUGGCAGCAGGUCCACACACAGACUUGUCAGUCCUGGGAAAUGGUCCCUCGCUAUCCUCACUAGAUAACACUAGUCACUGACCUAGCACUGAGGGUCAUCAUUUUGUGACCCAUGAGGUUCCAGUGCAGCAGCCAAUUUUUUUAAUUAAAUAAUAAGCCAGAAGGAGGAAUAGCCUCAAGAUACCUCUCUUAACUUUUUCCCCCAUUGGCAUUUUCUAGCUUCACCGCUGUAUCUCCCUCUGCCUAUUACAAUUGAAAUAACAAUGCCCAUCUUUUCUCUGAACACAAAUUUAGCCUCACAAAAAUAUACACAGAUCAGAUACACCUGGAUAACUCCACUAUAGUGUAGCUGGUUUCAUGAAAUAACACCCUUUGAAGAUUGAAAUACAGCAAGCCAUGGCACCUGACCCCCCCCACCCCCACCCCCCCAAAAAAAGAUUUAUAGAACAUCAAGAGACAUCAAGCAAAUACCCUGAUUUUUUUCCCUUUUAUUCUUUAAUAUUUUCUGUGGGUCCAGAAUUGUGCAAUGUCGAAGCCACUAGAGGUCCCGUAAUGGACGUAGCGGUAGCUGUACGCUACAAACUCUAUUAAAUCUAACCCUUUAAUAAAAUGUAUCAACUUGAUGAUUUAUGUGUAACAUAUAUUUUAUGUACUGUGUCAGUAUCUAAAAGUAUAAAAGUGCAUAAAAUGUAUCAAAUGCAUGUAUCAAAAUGUCUUUUGGAUGCAGCCAUCUUUCAUGCCUCCCAGGAAAAGGAGAUGAUGGCCGAGAUUCCUCCAGCUAUUUCCCAACCCAGAUAACUAUCAGAAUCUUUGUGUGUGUAGAUAGAUUAUCCUCUUUGUCAAGAAAAUAAGCUUAGGGUGUUUGUUCAUUCACCUUGCGGCUGAGAGUCUGCUGCCCACGGUAAAGGGGGCUCAGCUAAUAUAUAUACAGGCAGCCAAGCCCCUGAUUGUCUAGAACAGGGGUUCCCAAACUAAGGCCCGGGGGCCGGAUGCGGCCCUCCAAGGUCAUUUACCUGGCCCCCGCCCUCAGUUUUAUAAUAUAAUAUAUUGUAUAUACAUAUAAUAUUGAUAAUAAUAUUAUAAUGUAAUACAAUAUAACACUAAUAAUAAUAAUACCAUACAAUAGUAUUAAUUAUAUAUUACUAAUAAUAUUACUAAUAAUACUACAGUAUAGUGGUAUAGUUCAAUAUAGUAAUAUAUAAUGCUAAUAGUGUGCUAUGCUAACAAUAUAACAUAUUGUAUGUACAUAUAAUUUGUAAGCCACUCUGAGUCCCCUUUGGGGUGAGAAGGGUGUGACACAAAUGUAGUAAAUAAAUAUAGUAAAUAAAUAAAUAAAUUUUAGACUUAGGCUCGCCCAAAGUCUUGAAAGCACACAACAACAACAACAACAACAACAACAACUACCAUCCUAAUUAACUUGACUAUCUCAUUGGCCAUAAGCAGGCCCACACUUCCCAAUGAAAUCCUGAUAAAUGUAUGUGGGUAAAAUUGUUUUUAUUUUUAAAUAUUGUAUUGCUCUUUUAUUGUUAUUUCAUUGUUCUUAUUGUUGUUGUUGUUUUUGCACUACAAAUAAGACAUGUGUAGUGUACAUCAGAAUUUGUUUGUAUUUUUUUUUUCAAAUGAUAAUUUGGCCCCUCAACAGUUUGAAGGAUUGUGGACUGGCCCUCUGCAUAAAAAGUUUGGGGACCCCUGGUCUAGAAUCACCACCUUUGACUCUUGAGUUUUUUUGUUUCACGUGGAACUGGACAUUUGAGUUAAUCAAGGACUCAUCAGCAUACCCACAUCACAAUUUCCUCCUGGACUGCACCCUCCCAAGGGGUGUCCCUGCAAUGGAUUGGCUCUUCAAACUUCAACUACCAGCUGUCUUCUUUCCUGCCACGGGAAUCUCUUCUGACAUGCUGUGAUGUCAAGGGAACACUCAACCAAUCUGGACGUGAAUCCUAGCCUGCUCCUCUUCAGCCAGUCAGGGGAGGGAGCGGGAAGUCUGAAUAGCUGUCAGAACUGUAUAAAGUGUCAUGUAUUUAUUUGUGAGUUCAUGUUUGUACUUUUUAAAAGCAUAUUGACAGUACUUGCAUCCUUUUUGGCCAAAUCAUAAUAAACCUCUGUGGCUUUGCCUUCAA
Long non-coding RNA from Anolis carolinensis (green anole), 6893 nucleotides. RefSeq lists it as uncharacterized. NCBI's taxonomy places the organism in Eukaryota, Metazoa, Chordata, Lepidosauria, Squamata, Anolidae. The transcript is spliced from 2 exons. The record is from RefSeq and is a predicted model, not a curated record.